RNAcentral lists this transfer RNA (119 nucleotides) under Fusarium oxysporum II5. RNAcentral's name for it is "tRNA-Gly". Lineage: Eukaryota; Fungi; Ascomycota; Sordariomycetes; Hypocreales; Nectriaceae. RNAcentral also lists the same sequence under 2 other names. The record is from RNAcentral.
UGCCGGGUGGUGUAGUGGUAACAUCCAUGUCACCCGUUCACGGUAUCGCUUCUACGAGUCGUUUAUGUAACUUACAUGUGGGGUGGUGUGUGUCGCAGGUUCGAAUCCUGCCCCGGCAA